UCCUGAUUUAGACCUUCACGUGCUGCC
RNAcentral lists this non-coding RNA (27 nucleotides) under Homo sapiens (human). Lineage: Eukaryota; Metazoa; Chordata; Mammalia; Primates; Hominidae. The record is from RNAcentral.